RNAcentral lists this ribosomal RNA (494 nucleotides) under uncultured bacterium. RNAcentral's name for it is "partial 16S ribosomal RNA". It matches the Rfam family "Bacterial small subunit ribosomal RNA", at positions 30 to 523 of the family's 1533-position model. The record is from RNAcentral.
AUUGAACGCUGGCGGCAGGCCUAACACAUGCAAGUCGAGCGGAAGGGGCUUCGGCCCCGAGAGCGGCGGACGGGUGAGGAUAGCGUGGGAAUCUGCCUGUAGAUGGGGGAUAGCCCGGAGAAAUCCGGAUUAAUACCGCAUAAUACCUGACGGCUAAAGUGGAGGAUCGCAAGACUUCACGUUUACAGAUUAGCCCACGUCAGAUUAGCUAGUUGGUAGGGUAAAGGCCUACCAAGGCGACGAUCUGUAGCUGGCCUGAGAGGGUGGCCAGCCACACUGGAACUGAGACACGGUCCAGACUCCUACGGGAGGCAGCAGUGGGGAAUAUUGGACAAUGGGCGCAAGCCUGAUCCAGCCAUGCCGCGUGUGUGAAGAAGGCCUUCGGGUUGUAAAGCACUUUAAGUUGGGAGGAAGGUUCCAAGGCUAAUACCUUUGGGAAUUGACGUUACCGACAGAAUAAGCACCGGCUAAUUCCGUGCCAGCAGCCGCAGUAA